This 76-nucleotide transfer RNA is filed under the name Peptoniphilus equinus. RNAcentral's name for it is "Peptoniphilus sp. CBA3646 tRNA-Thr". It matches the Rfam family "tRNA". From Rfam's summary of the family: Transfer RNA (tRNA) molecules are approximately 80 nucleotides in length. Their secondary structure includes four short double-helical elements and three loops (D, anti-codon, and T loops). Further hydrogen bonds mediate the characteristic L-shaped molecular structure. tRNAs have two regions of fundamental functional importance: the anti-codon, which is responsible for specific mRNA codon recognition, and the 3' end, to which the tRNAs corresponding amino acid is attached (by aminoacyl-tRNA synthetases). tRNAs cope with the degeneracy of the genetic code in two manners: having more than one tRNA (with a specific anti-codon) for a particular amino acid; and 'wobble' base-pairing, i.e. permitting non-standard base-pairing at the 3rd anti-codon position. The record is from RNAcentral. Lineage: Bacteria; Bacillati; Bacillota; Tissierellia; Tissierellales; Peptoniphilaceae.
GCUGAUAUGGCUCAGUUGGUAGAGCGAUUGAUUCGUAAUCAAUAGGUCGGGGGUUCAAAUCCCCCUAUCAGCUCCA